This 485-nucleotide ribosomal RNA is filed under the name bacterium B10H12. RNAcentral's name for it is "bacterial SSU rRNA". It matches the Rfam family "Bacterial small subunit ribosomal RNA", at positions 373 to 873 of the family's 1533-position model. The record is from RNAcentral.
GGGCGAAGCCUGACGCAGCACGCCGCGUGAGGGACGAAGGCUUUCUGAGUUGUAAACCUCUUUCGACAGGAACGAUUGUGACGGUACCUGUAGAAGAAGCACCGGUCAACUAUGUGCCAGCAGCCGCGGUGAUACAUAGGGUGCAAGCGUUAUUCGGAUUUAUUGGGCGUAAAGAGCUCGUAGGCGGUUCAACAAGUCGGGUGUUAAACCCCCAGGCUCAACCUGGGGCCGCCACCCGAAACUGUUGUGACUAGAGUUUGGUAGGGGAUCACGGAAUUCCUGGUGUAGCGGUGGAAUGCGCAGAUAUCAGGAGGAACACCAGUAGCGAAGGCGGUGAUCUGGGCCAAUACUGACGCUGAGGAGCGAAAGCGUGGGGAGCGAACAGGAUUAGAUACCCUGGUAGUCCACGCCGUAAACGGUGGGCACUAGGUGUGGGGACUUUUCAACGGUUUCCGCGCCGCAGCUAACGCAUUAAGUGCCCCGCC